UGAAACCUGGAGCCUCCACAUGGAUUUGUUAAGGAGGAGAAAAACAAAGUACCUCGAUCUACAACCUACGCCCGAAACAAAAGCAAAGACCAGUGCAAAAAGAAAGCUCACAAGGAAGUAGUAUCAAGACCAGAACCUCAGGCUUACCAGUUAAGUAUUCGAAUACUAAGCUACACCCCAGACCUUGCACUAUCUCAGAAUCAUGACUCGGCCUGACGGACACAAAGGGUGCAUUUGAAACAAGAGUGAACCGUCUCUAAUUAUUAUUCCUGAACCAUAUAUCAUAUGCCAUAAAUUUAUUCUCCUUUUUUUUUGUUUUG
Molecule: long non-coding RNA, 320 nt
Organism: Mus musculus (house mouse)
Lineage: Eukaryota; Metazoa; Chordata; Mammalia; Rodentia; Muridae
Product: predicted gene, 39241
Exons: 2
Source: RefSeq, a predicted model, not a curated record